GUUGUUUUUCCGAAAAUCAAUUAUAAAUGUUUUGUUUCUGAGGAGUGAUGACUUCAUCGGCUUCCUUCUCUCUUCACGAAACUUUUGUAAUGCACUUUUCGGUUAACAAGUCAACAUCAAUUUCUUUUGUUGUAAAAGAGUAUUCGGAAGGUGGCUUUCUUUUCGGAGAAAGUGUUUAUAGCCCUAUACUUCUACAAUCGGAGAGAUUGAGGUCUGCAGCGUAGAUCCUUCGGGGUUAGAUACACUUGUGCUAAGUUAUAGCUUUUCAUAGACAACUUGUUGACUAUGUUUAGUCUUGUAGCUUACUCGCUUGUGCUAUUUUACCUAC
RNAcentral lists this ribosomal RNA (328 nucleotides) under uncultured Neocallimastigales. Its description in RNAcentral is "partial large subunit ribosomal RNA". Lineage: Eukaryota; Fungi; Neocallimastigomycota; Neocallimastigomycetes; Neocallimastigales. The record is from RNAcentral.